GCUUCAAAGUUCCAUCAUCUUGCAGAAAGAGCAGAGUUCUUGUGGCAUACAUUUUUGUGUUUGUUGUCGUAUUUAUUCUCCUCACAUACGGCAUCAGGAUGUCAUGAUGGUUCAAUAUGAAUAGCCUGUUAGUCUUGACUGCCUCAUCAACAGUUAGUCCAUCUAACUUGUCCUCUAUUUGCUCCCUGGUAAUUGUGCUAGUUUGGUUGCCAUAUAUUUUAGGAUCCAACUUGCUCUUUGGAGGGAAUUCUUGGAGUCUACUAAUUAUGACAGGAUUGAUUCCCGCUAGCAUUUCUCUUCCGAAUUCUUCAUCCGUCCUCCAGGCAGAUUUAUCCUCUUGGAUAACCUGAGGUGUCGGGUACUUGAGUAGGCCUUCACCAUCAGUAGAAAGGAGUUGUUUUAGUAUCUCCAAAGGAAUAGCAUCCACAAUGGCUUUAAACAAAGGCCCCUGAGGCAACUUGAUUCCUCCUUCAUA
RNAcentral lists this unclassified non-coding RNA (475 nucleotides) under Hevea brasiliensis (rubber tree). The record is from RNAcentral. Lineage: Eukaryota; Viridiplantae; Streptophyta; Magnoliopsida; Malpighiales; Euphorbiaceae.